GUGAGCCGUCCUCCUUAUGCUGAGAAGGGCAUCUCGCGCCGUGACACCAUCUGUGGUUACUGCUCCCGGCCAGGUCACCCAGAGUCUGAUUAUCACCGAAAGAAGCGAGACCAGAGGCACUCCUCCUCCAGCGGGACUCCUGUGUCCUCCUCGACUCCGUCACUCACUGACCAGGACAUUGUUCGCCUCAAGCGUCUUCUUGCUUCCUCAGGCUCCUCGUCGACUGCUUCUGCUACUGUUGUGACUGCAUCCCCUUCCUCACCAUCACCGGCAUCUACACAGUCAGGUACAUCUUCGUGGGUUUUGGAUUCUGGAGCCUUCUUUCAUAUGUCUUCUGAUUCUUCCGCGUUGUGUUCUUUAGUUCGUCAGGGCCUCUUAGGGUAUGUAUCUGGAGAUGUCUCCUUACAUUGUAAUGGUUGCAGACUUGGCAAACAGACUCAGUUACCUUAUCCUACUAGUGAUUCUGUAUCUCAGCGUCCUUUUGACUUAGUUCAUUAUGAUGUCUGGGGUCCUGCUCCCUUUGAUUCGAAAGGUGGUCAUUGCUACUAUGUUUUGUUUAUUGAUGAUUUCUCUCGCUACAAUUGGCUCUACUUCAUGAAAUCUCGUAGCGAGGUUCUCCCUAUAUACAAACGUUUUGCUGCCAUGGUUCACACCCAGUUUGCCACGCCCAUUCGUACUUUUCGUGCUGACUCCGCUGGAGAGUAUAUCUCUUAG
RNAcentral lists this ribosomal RNA (714 nucleotides) under Triticum aestivum (bread wheat). RNAcentral's name for it is "partial small subunit ribosomal RNA". Lineage: Eukaryota; Viridiplantae; Streptophyta; Magnoliopsida; Poales; Poaceae. The record is from RNAcentral.